RNAcentral lists this transfer RNA (74 nucleotides) under Skermanella stibiiresistens SB22. Its description in RNAcentral is "tRNA-Cys". It matches the Rfam family "tRNA". From Rfam's summary of the family: Transfer RNA (tRNA) molecules are approximately 80 nucleotides in length. Their secondary structure includes four short double-helical elements and three loops (D, anti-codon, and T loops). Lineage: Bacteria; Pseudomonadati; Pseudomonadota; Alphaproteobacteria; Rhodospirillales; Azospirillaceae. The record is from RNAcentral. RNAcentral also lists the same sequence under 3 other names.
GGCGCGGUGGCAGAGUGGUGAUGCAGCGGACUGCAAAUCCGUAUAUCCGGGUUCGAUUCCCGGCCGUGCCUCCA